AUACGGAGGGUGCAAGCGUUAAUCGGAAUUACUGGGCGUAAAGCGCACGCAGGCGGUUUGUUAAGUCAGAUGUGAAAUCCCCGGGCUCAACCUGGGAACUGCAUCUGAUACUGGCAAGCUUGAGUCUCGUAGAGGGGGGUAGAAUUCCAGGUGUAGCGGUGAAAUGCGUAGAGAUCUGGAGGAAUACCGGAGGCGAAGGCGGCCCCCUGGACGAAGACUGACGCUCAGGUGCGAAAGCGUGGGGAGCAAACAGGAUUAGAUACCCUGGUAGUCCACGCCGUAAACGAUGUCGACUUGGAGGUUGUGCCCUUGAGGCGUGGCUUCCGGAGCUAACGCGUUAAGUCGACCGCCUGGGGAGUACGGCCGCAAGGUUAAAACUCAAAUGAAUUGGCGGGG
RNAcentral lists this ribosomal RNA (396 nucleotides) under uncultured bacterium. RNAcentral describes it as "partial 16S ribosomal RNA". It matches the Rfam family "Bacterial small subunit ribosomal RNA", at positions 523 to 918 of the family's 1533-position model. The record is from RNAcentral.